GUUAAUCUUUUACUGAGAUUAACGAAAAAUACACGCAAAUCUAUUCUCUCCUUCUUAGUGAUAGUUAGAGCGGGUAAACGCCCCCUUCUUCCUUGGGCGAAAAACCUUAGCUCCAAUCUGGCAACACCACAACACUUCGAUCGUCCCAGACUAGGGGAAGUCGUGAGAUUGUUGACGACGGCGCUUCCGCAACAAGAACUUAAUACUUGACGUGUUCAGUUUCGGGUUUAACCGACCCCUACCUUACCAUGUAUUUUAAUUGUCAAUUUAUUAAGUGCCUUAAUUUGUGGGUGUUUAUUGGGUUCCAUAAUUUCCAUGUGUUUUUAAAUCAAUGCAUUGAGGUCUGUCAAUUUAAUCUACUUUAAAAAUGUUUAUUUUCAAUUCUUCUGUCAUUUUUAAAUUUUCAGAAUAAGAAAAUAGAUUGAACCAAAUUGUAUUCAUAGGAUCACAAAUGGAUGGUUAAGAUUUAAAGACCUCAUUAAUGUCAAGGGAAAUACAAUUUAAGUAUUAAAUAUGUAAUUAAGUUGGUUAUAAGAGUUUGUUAGUAGUUUGUCAAGGUAAAAUAGACUAUAAACAAACCUUAAUUUGUAUAAGUAGAGUGAAAUCAAUUGAAGAUUUUCAUAUUCAGUAUCAAAGCAAAAAUAUUAUAUAAACCCUAGUUAUUACAUGGCUUAUUAUUUUAUAAUCUAUUUUACCAUAACAAACUACUAACAAACUCCUAUAACCAACUUAAUUAAGUAACUAAUUACAUAUUUAGUAUUUAAAUUGUAUUUUCCUUGACAAUUGAAUCUUGUGGAAUGCUGAAUACUUUCUAAAAAUAUGAAAUUUUUAAAAACAUAAACAAAAGUAUAACUUAAGAAUCCACUGGAGAGAGAUCUGACUUGGUUAUCCCUGGUUGCAUAGCCAGUUGUUUUUAGGACAUACUGAUCCGGGUCCUGAAUUUGCAGGAGGACCACUUCCGCCUCUUUUUUCUCGUGUCUUUCUUCUCGGUCCAUAUACACUUUUGUCAUAACCCUUCUGUAUCAUUCCUUUACCUUUAUGAUCUAGUUUUUCAUUUCUGGACUUUGCAGUUGAAUUUUGAUUGGAGUAGCAGAGUUGGCCAAGCAUAUAAAGAGAAGAAGAUAAGAAACAACGACAACGAUUAUCUUCCAACAGUUUGAAGAACACCUCCUCCCCAUUAAAAAUGUGAUGAGUGAAAGAUGAAUGUAUGUAUUGUGAAUAGGUUUGAUCUAUUAAUUAUAGACAUCCCGAUUCUAUUUUUG
This 1262-nucleotide long non-coding RNA is filed under the name Zostera marina. RNAcentral's name for it is "long non-coding RNA (ZMAR_LNC001345)". The record is from RNAcentral. Lineage: Eukaryota; Viridiplantae; Streptophyta; Magnoliopsida; Alismatales; Zosteraceae.